UGAAACCCUUUUUGGUAUUAGGUGGAC
This 27-nucleotide non-coding RNA is filed under the name Homo sapiens (human). Lineage: Eukaryota; Metazoa; Chordata; Mammalia; Primates; Hominidae. The record is from RNAcentral.